UCGGCUUAGAGUUUGAUCCUGGCUCAGAUUGAACGCUGGCGGCAGGCCUAACACAUGCAAGUCGAGCGGUAGGGAAGCUUGCUUCCCACUAGCGGCGGACGGGUGAGUAAUGUAUGGGGAUCUGCCCGAUAGAGGGGGAUAACUACUGGAAACGGUAGCUAAUACCCCAUAAUCUCUCAGGAGCAAAGCAGUUCGUUGCGCUAUCGGAUGAACCCAUAUGGGAUUAGCUAGUUGGUGAGGUAAUGGCUCACCAAGGCGACUAUCCCUAGCUGGUCUGAGAGGAUGAUCAGCCACACUGGGACUGAGACACGGCCCAGACUCCUACGGGAGGCAGCAGUGGGGAAUAUUGCACAAUGGGCGCAAGCCUGAUGCAGCCAUGCCGCGUGUAUGAAGAAGGCCUUAGGGUUGUAAAGUACUUUC
Molecule: ribosomal RNA, 420 nt
Filed under: uncultured Providencia sp.
Lineage: Bacteria; Pseudomonadati; Pseudomonadota; Gammaproteobacteria; Enterobacterales; Morganellaceae
Description: bacterial SSU rRNA
Rfam family: Bacterial small subunit ribosomal RNA
Source: RNAcentral